UAAUGCAUAGGAAACUGCCCAGUAGUGGGGGAUAGCCCGGGGAAACCCGGAUUAAUACCGCGUACGCCCUUCGGGGGAAAGCAGGGGAUCUUCGGACCUUGCGCUAUUGGAUGUGCCUAUGUCGGAUUAGCUAGUUGGUGGGGUAAAGGCCUACCAAGGCGACGAUCCGUAGCUGGUCUGAGAGGAUGAUCAGCCACAUCGGGACUGAGACACGGCCCGAACUCCUACGGGAGGCAGCAGUGGGGAAUAUUGGACAAUGGGGGCAACCCUGAUCCAGCCAUGCCGCGUGUGUGAAGAAGGCUUUCGGGUUGUAAAGCACUUUCAGUGAGGAGGAAAAGUUGGUCGUUAAUACCGGCCAGCCUUGACGUUACUCACAGAAGAAGCACCGGCUAACUCCGUGCCAGCAGCCGCGGUAAUACGGAGGGUGCAAGCGUUAAUCGGAAUUACUGGGCGUAAAGCGCGCGUAGGUGGUUUGAUAAGCGAGAUGUGAAAGCCCCGGGCUUAACCUGGGAACGGCAUUUCGAACUGUCAGGCUAGAGUAUGGUAGAGGAGUGUGGAAUUUCCUGUGUAGCGGUGAAAUGCGUAGAUAUAGGAAGGAACACCAGUGGCGAA
Molecule: ribosomal RNA, 612 nt
Filed under: Marinobacter salsuginis
Lineage: Bacteria; Pseudomonadati; Pseudomonadota; Gammaproteobacteria; Pseudomonadales; Marinobacteraceae
Description: bacterial SSU rRNA
Rfam family: Bacterial small subunit ribosomal RNA
Source: RNAcentral